UACGGAGGGUGCAAGCGUUGUCCGGAUUUAUUGGGUUUAAAGGGUGCGUAGGCGGCUUUUUAAGUCAGUGGUGAAAGACAACAGCUCAACUGUUGCAGUGCCAUUGAUACUGAAGAGCUUGAGUACAGAUGAGGUAGGCGGAAUUUAUGGUGUAGCGGUGAAAUGCAUAGAUACCAUAAAGAACACCUAUUGCGAAGGCAGCUUACUA
Molecule: ribosomal RNA, 208 nt
Filed under: uncultured bacterium
Lineage: Bacteria
Description: partial 16S ribosomal RNA
Rfam family: Bacterial small subunit ribosomal RNA
Source: RNAcentral